Molecule: non-coding RNA, 3024 nt
Organism: Rattus norvegicus (Norway rat)
Lineage: Eukaryota; Metazoa; Chordata; Mammalia; Rodentia; Muridae
Source: RefSeq, a predicted model, not a curated record
UCAGUUUCCAGCCUCCUGCCCAUCACAGUGCUUACCCCCAAAGAAUGGCAAGUAACUGUAUGUUGGCUUGGCUUCUUCUACUCUCUAGUAAGAUCUCUUGAAGGAGGUACUAUGUCUGGUUCAUUCUUGCAUUCCCCAUACUGAAAAGCCAUCCAUGUAAAUGAAUAUACAUGUGAAGGAGGACGACACAGUUUACCUAGCAAAUGUGGUCUAUCUAUGGCAAUGGAUGUGUGCAUGAAUGUGGACAACAGAGGGUAUUUUGGGACAGAUGAGGUAAAGUAUGCAGUGGGAGACUGUGAUGACCCAUUGGAGUAUUUAGCAUUUACACUCUCCCUGACGGGUCUGUUUUGUUGUUGUUGUUGUUGUUGUUGUACUGUCUUUCUUGAGAUUGGAUAGAGAGGGAUAAAGGGACAGCUCUUGAGCUACUAGCAUAUAAACUUGUUCUUCUUUAAGGAAUGUUCUAUGUCUCAGUAAAGUGGGCCGAGAGCCUACCUGUCCAAUUAUUUCAUCAUUAAUAAGGAGUACCUACAUCUUCUGAUAUGCAUUUCCAAUUGUCCCCUAGCCUUUGAAAGAGCAGGGGACUUUGGAAGGCUUUGUACCAGUGCCAAAAGUCAACCGGGAAAACUGAAACUUGAUCCAUUAACUAAAAUCAAUGAACAUCGUGUGUGCGAAGGCACUCGAUACUGUACCUCCUCUAACAUUUCUGAACACUUUACUCCAGGAGCUUUCAAGGAGAUAAAAAUCCUUGGUGGACUAGGAGAGGAUGCCAUAGCUGAAUGACAAUGUGUAGCUAUAAACACGUGAGAAGAGAAAUGGGAGGGAAUGGGGAGGUUUAACUAGAUAACCAGAGGCAGGAGAGAUUUCACCCACAACUGAAGGCAGACUCACUGUGUCAGGUUCCUUUGCAGCUAGGAGUUGAAAGUUGGCCUGGCUAUGAGUAUAGAAGGAGACCAAGAUAGCCAGGUGCCAUGGCACUCUCUUCUUCUCCUGACUUUGAACAAGGAAAGCCACUUAAGAUAUGCUAUGUGGAUGCUCUUUCUCUAUUCCUUUAUUAAAGGUGGAAAAAGCCUAUCUUAAUGAACCACUCACCUGCUCUCUCAGAAGAACCUAUCAGUUUGGGGUAUAAUGGGAGGAGUUUAGGAUAGAACCAAAGCUGUAUGUGUAUGUCAAACUGUGACAUCUUUGAAGAAAUGGGCCAGGAUCUUGGCGUCUGUUCAUGAGUGUUGGCUGACCCUCUCUCCCUCCCACUUUCACUUCCACAUUCCGCUAUCAUGCUUCUGUUAUCAAUUCCCAAGACAUGCAGCAAAUUCUAUCAGAAAUUUUCAGAAAUCCCAGAUAAAGUCUCACUAGAUCCUCCCCAAGCUCAAGCCUUCCUUUUGUAUAGGAUUAAUAUACCCCAGAGCUUGUCUCCUUCCUACAGAUCCCGCAGGCUUCUCACUGUCUUGAACGAUACAGCUGCUGUAUUCUCUGGAGAAGCAGUGUCUGCUCUGCACGCAGGCAGCUUGUUUCGACCAGAUAUUCACUGUGAGUCCCUCAGUGAACCAGUUCCAUGAGGUUUCUGCCUCUAAGGGAAUGGGCGAGCAUGGAAAUGAGGCCUUGAGCACAGAGCGGGCAUCGCAGACAGGUGCUAACAACUCUGCUGGUCUCUUUAGAGAGCAGUAUUUGUAUUUGGCUGUUUUCCCUUCUUUCUUUUUUGUCUUCCUCUCUUGCUAGAGUUGUAAGAGGAAGAUUAUCCACUCAAACAGCCAUCCAACGCCCUCUUAGGAGGCUGGGGAAUUCUCUGAAAGGUCUUGGUAAGGAGGCGAGCCAACAUCAUAUCUGUCCCGCUGCUACCUGCUGCAUUGCUUCCUGAGGAUGGAGAGGCUCCAAUGCUUGUGUUGAACAGGGAGACGCCAUCCGGAUCUGCUCCCAGUUCUGAAAGUGGCUGGGGCGGAAAGGCAAAAGCCAGGACCAACUCUGCACUUCAACUCCUCAGAACCAAGUUUUGCCUCCUUGGAAACAGACUGCUUUUGACCUGAGGAGAAGAGAGCUGAGAAUGUUUUAAGGGAGUUCUCUGUAACAUACUUCAGACACACACGAGGCAUUGAAGUCAAAGACAGAGAUGUGGCUUCAUCCUACCAAGGGACCAGGAACAACUUAACCCAAUGAGAGUCUGCUGAAACAACCGAUGCUUUUUCCUUGUGGCAAUUUGAUCUGGAGUGGGUCUGUGAUACAUUACAAUGCUGGGAUCAAAUCAAGCUUUUCUGGAGCUCAUCCAAGCACAACACGAGGCUAUGGGAACCCUACUGCAUGGGGCCCCUCUGCUGCUGUUUAAUUGUGCUUACCUCAUGACCUAUAAUGGUUAUCUACAUAUAGUGCAAGAGAAAUGUAAGUGGACAACAGAGUUCAGUGGCCUCAAUGGGAGGGAACGGACCUGGGCUGAUCAAUGAGUUGACUCUGGCUUUCCCCUCAACAGCCUCUACACAUGCACACAUCCAGUUGUGAAUAGGGUCCCGGGCUCAGGAGGAUCUCUCCUGGACACUUUGCAGGGUGGCCUCUGCCAUUCAUGGCCAUAUCUAUUCAGCUAAUCCUUGAAGACAAUCCUGACUUUCUACCCAGGGGAGGCAGGGAGACCAGACCGAGUACUCUGUGAUGGCCUGGCAUAGCCCUUUGAAUGUUUUCGGAGACAUAGGCACUUGAUGCCAAUUCUUGGGGAACCACAGCGAAUGAGUGGACCUGUCUUCUCCUUUAAUGCCUUCCUGUUCCCAACUGACCUGUGCAAUUCCUGAUGGCUCAGAGCAAUGCCCAGAUCUGGGAGGAAAGGAAAACAAAACCCAAGCUCAAUCUAUCUCUGAUCUCAGAAGGAUUCUAGCUGGUUCUGAGAAAUAAGCUGGUUCUAAUUUUCACUAAACAAUGGUGUCUGGCCCUCAUUUAAAAAGGCAUUUUCAUCAAGGAUGUGCCUAUUGGUGCUUCAGCAACAGGGAAAUAUUCGGGAAUAAGGCUUAGGGGGUAAGAUUUAGAUUUAAGCUUUCUUCAAAAACCCUU